Molecule: non-coding RNA, 915 nt
Organism: Drosophila suzukii
Lineage: Eukaryota; Metazoa; Arthropoda; Insecta; Diptera; Drosophilidae
Source: RefSeq, a predicted model, not a curated record
GAAAACCAGUCGUCAACCUGGAAUAGGAUUCAGUGCAGCUGCUCCGAGAUUAGAGAGAGAGAGAGUUAGCCACUAUCACUUGGAAAUAACCCCAAAACAAAAUAUUAAAAUAUACCUGAAAUUACGAAAAUCAGAGUGCAAUUGAGGUGUUACUGAAUUUGAAAUACUUACGCACCCAAGUCGGUACAAGCGUUGUAUAACUCUCUUCUUUCACCUGAAGCUCAACUAGUUUACCCCUGGAACCAUGGAGCGCUUCAUCUGAAUUUUCAGAAGAUCAGCCUUACAUCAGUCAAUAGGGUGCUCCCCUUACAAAGCCUUAUUCGGGAUGAAUAUGAUCAAUCACGGGGAUGACUAUAAACUAUUAAAGGAAAUGUCGAUAUUGGAAGAGUCACCUAGGUUAGAGCGCGAGGAUCACCUGCAGUCAUUUCAGAAACAAUUUCAAUAAAAAGUUGGCUUCCCAGUUCUCCAAGUGUAGAGUCAAACAAAAGCGAGGAAAUGCCUACUAUAUACUGGAAUCUCCACAAGGCAAAGAAAUCGGAACAUAUGCUAAAGACGUACGUAGCUAAUUACAGCUAAUCAUUCCUCGCCAGGUUCGUCAGAUUACCUGGUGGGUGUAAUGUACCAACCUUAAGAUCUUUAAAGAAAAUUUUCGAAAAGUAACUGAUAAUAAAGCCAGCACUCGUACUUAUCCGAGUUAUUUACCGGAGUAUGUAACCCCAUGUAAUCACAAGCAAAAUUGCCUUAAUAAAGACGUCAUUCUGUUUCGAGAACUCUAAGUGAAAGGUUGGCUUCAAAAACUUAGUCCAACUUUAAUUUCUGGCCAUACCACGUGCAGUCGAAAGUCACAUAAAUCUUUAUCAUCAGUGAUUGUUAAGGCUCGUGUAUGGUAAAACACAAUGAAAUAUCCAACUAGGC